RNAcentral lists this ribosomal RNA (802 nucleotides) under bioreactor metagenome. RNAcentral's name for it is "bacterial SSU rRNA". It matches the Rfam family "Bacterial small subunit ribosomal RNA", at positions 8 to 811 of the family's 1533-position model. The record is from RNAcentral.
AGAGUUUGAUCCUGGCUCAGGAUGAACGCUGGCGGCGUGCCUAACACAUGCAAGUCGAGCGAGAAAGCUGUUGUUGAUCCUUCGGGAGAUUCAACAGCUGGAGAGCGGCGGACGGGUGAGUAACGCGUGGGUAACCUGCCCUAUGGAGGGGGAUAACGUCUGGAAACGGACGCUAAUACCGCAUAAGCAGACGGAGCCGCAUGGUUCUGCCUGAAAAACUCCGGUGCCAUAGGAUGGACCCGCGUAAGAUUAGCUAGUUGGUGAGGUAACGGCUCACCAAGGCGACGAUCUUUAGCCGACCUGAGAGGGUGAUCGGCCACAUUGGGACUGAGACACGGCCCAAACUCCUACGGGAGGCAGCAGUGGGGGAUAUUGCACAAUGGGGGAAACCCUGAUGCAGCAACGCCGCGUGAAGGAUGACGGUUUUCGGAUUGUAAACUUCUAUCAGCUGGGAAGAUAAUGACGGUACCAGACUAAGAAGCCCCGGCUAACUACGUGCCAGCAGCCGCGGUAAUACGUAGGGGGCAAGCGUUAUCCGGAUUUACUGGGUGUAAAGGGUACGUAGGCGGUCUAUUAAGUCAGAUGUGAAAGCCCGAGGCUCAACCUCGGGACUGCAUUUGAAACUGGUGGACUAGAGUACAGGAGAGGAAAGUGGAAUUCCUAGUGUAGCGGUGAAAUGCGUAGAUAUUAGGAAGAACACCAGUGGCGAAGGCGGCUUUCUGGACUGUAACUGACGCUGAGGUACGAAAGCGUGGGGAGCGAACAGGAUUAGAUACCCUGGUAGUCCACGCCGUAAACGAUG